Molecule: non-coding RNA, 123 nt
Organism: Hordeum vulgare subsp. vulgare (domesticated barley)
Lineage: Eukaryota; Viridiplantae; Streptophyta; Magnoliopsida; Poales; Poaceae
Source: Rfam
UUUGUACCCCUCCGUCCGGAAAUACUUGUCCAAGAAAUGAAUAAAAUGGAUGCAUCUAUAACUAAUAUAAAUCUAGAUACAUGCAUUUCUAAGACAAGUAUUUCCGGACGGAGGGAGUACUAA